GCCCGGCUAGCUCAGUCGGUAGAGCACGAAACUCUUAAUCUCGGGUUCUGGGUUCGAGACUCACGUUGGGCG
Molecule: transfer RNA, 72 nt
Filed under: Stegodyphus mimosarum
Lineage: Eukaryota; Metazoa; Arthropoda; Arachnida; Araneae; Eresidae
Rfam family: tRNA
About the family: Transfer RNA (tRNA) molecules are approximately 80 nucleotides in length.
Source: Rfam by way of RNAcentral